Molecule: non-coding RNA, 75 nt
Organism: Helicobacteraceae bacterium 4484_230
Lineage: Bacteria; Pseudomonadati; Campylobacterota; Epsilonproteobacteria; Campylobacterales; Helicobacteraceae
Source: Rfam
CGGGGUGUAGCUCAGUAUGGUUAGAGUACUUGGUUUGGGACCAAGGGGCCGAAGGUUCGAGUCCUUUCACCCCGA